GAUGAACGCUGGCGGCGUGCCUAAUACAUGCAAGUCGAACGAAACUUCUUUAUAACCGUGUGAUUGCAAUCACCGAUAAAGAGUUGAGUGGCGAACGGGUGAGUAACACGUGGGCAACCUGCCCAAAAGAGGGGGAAAACACUAGGAAACAGGAGCUCAUACCGCAUAACCAUAGUUACCGCAAGGUAAAAAUGUAAAAGGUGGCGAUACUACCGCUUUUGGUUAGGUCGGCGGCGCAUUAGCUAGUUGGUAGGGUAAAGGUUUACCAAGGCAAUGAGGCGAAGCCGAAUGGAGAGGUUGUUCGGCCACAUUGGGACGGGGACACGGCCCAAACUCCUACGGGAGGCAGCGGAAGGGAAUCUCCCACAUUGGGCGAAAGCCUGAUGGAGCAACGCCGCGGGGGUGAAGAAGUUCUUCGGAUCGUAAAACCCGGUUGUUGGGGAAGACAUUGCUUGAGAGUAACUGUUCACGUUUCGACGGUAACUAACCAGAAAGCCACUGCUAACUACGUG
RNAcentral lists this ribosomal RNA (512 nucleotides) under uncultured bacterium. Its description in RNAcentral is "partial 16S ribosomal RNA". It matches the Rfam family "Bacterial small subunit ribosomal RNA", at positions 28 to 507 of the family's 1533-position model. The record is from RNAcentral.